RNAcentral lists this ribosomal RNA (551 nucleotides) under uncultured Glomus. RNAcentral describes it as "eukaryotic LSU rRNA". The stretch from base 156 to 309 matches the Rfam family "5.8S ribosomal RNA". The record is from RNAcentral. Lineage: Eukaryota; Fungi; Glomeromycota; Glomeromycetes; Glomerales; Glomeraceae.
GGAAGUAAAAGUCGUAACAAGGUUUCCGUAGGUGAACCUGCGGAAGGAUCAUUACUGAUUUAGCGAACCGAGCGUUAGCGAGGCUUUGCGAUCAACUUGUAUUUAAAGCCCACUCUUCAAUGUAUAAAAUUUGUAUUAAUGAUAAAUUAAAAGAUCACUUUCAACAACGGAUCUCUUGGCUCUCGCAUCGAUGAAGAGCGUAGCGAAGUGCGAUAAGUAAUGUGAAUUGCAGUAUUCCGUGAAUCAUCGAACCUUUGAACGCAUAUUGCACUUUCUGGUAUUCCGGAAAGUAUGCCUGUUUGAGGGUCAGUUAAAUAAAAAUCGGUGUUGUUGCCGCUUUCCGUGGUGACGCGUCGGAAUUGAGUCGUCUUCGGUUAAGUGACUUAAAAUUUUAUAUGAUUUUCGAACGUAUUUAAAUUUAUUUGAACGUUUGAUAUCGAAUGCUUAUUAGGUUCGGUCAUCCUCACGACUCGCGCCUAUAAUUUUUCAUUAAAUGACCUCAAAUCAGGUAAGAAUACCCGCUGAACUUAAGCAUAUCAAUAAGCGGAGGA